GAUGAAGAACGUAGCGAAGUGCGAUAAGUAAUGUGAAUUGCAGAAUUCCGUGAAUCAUCGAAUUUUUGAACGCAAAUUGCACUCUCUGGUAUUCCGGAGAGUAUGCCUGUUUGAGGGUCAGUAAAAUAAAAAUCGAUGUUGUUGUCAAUGAUAACGCGUCGGAAUUGAGUCGUCUUACCUUCGGUUAAGUGACUUAAAAUUUUUACGCGAAUUCGAAACGUAUUUAAUGUUUAUGUACGUUUGCGAUAUUCCAAUAUUUAUUAGAUGCGGUCAUUCCUAUGAUUCGCGCCUAUAAUUUUUCAUUUCUUGACCUCAAAUCAGGUAAGAGUACCCGCUGAACUUAAGCAUAUCAAUAAGCGGAGGA
RNAcentral lists this unclassified non-coding RNA (364 nucleotides) under soil metagenome. RNAcentral's name for it is "partial contains 5.8S ribosomal RNA, internal transcribed spacer 2, and large subunit ribosomal RNA". The stretch from base 1 to 120 matches the Rfam family "5.8S ribosomal RNA", at positions 35 to 154 of the family's 154-position model. The record is from RNAcentral.